This 2535-nucleotide unclassified non-coding RNA is filed under the name Hevea brasiliensis (rubber tree). The record is from RNAcentral. Lineage: Eukaryota; Viridiplantae; Streptophyta; Magnoliopsida; Malpighiales; Euphorbiaceae.
UACAAAUGCACCAGCAACAUUUCAGACCCUUAUGAAUGAUAUAUUUCAGCCAUUUCUUAGGAAAUAUGUGUUGGUAUCUCUGAUGAUAUCCUCAUUUACAGCCCUGAUUUAGCAUCCCUUAUUUCUCAUUUAGAAGAUGUGUUUAAGGUGCUAGCAGAUCAGCAGCUUUUUGCUAAGCUUUCAAAGUGUUCUUUUGCUGAAAAACAAGUGGAGUAUUUGGGGCAUAUUAUUUCAGAAAAGGGGGUAGCUAGAGAUCUAGAAAGAAUAAGGGCUAUGGUAUAAUGGCCAUUGCCCAAGUUAAUUAAGGAAUUGAGGAGUUUUUGGGGGCUGACUGGCUAUUGCAGAAAAUUUAUUAGAAACUAUACUCUUAUCAAUAAACCCUUGAUUGAUUUAUUAAAAAAAGAUGCCUUUCAGUGGUCUUCUAUGACACAACAUGCAUUUGAGAGCUUGAGGAAUGCUGUGUCCUCUGCCCCUUGUUAGCUAUGACUGAUUUUAGCCCACCAUUUAUUGUUGAAUCUGAUGCAGCAGUCAAGGGAUGGGAGCUGUAUUACAGCAGCAGGGACGCCCUAUUGCUUUUGUUUCCAAGGCAUUUGGGGAUGGGGCAUUCAGUCUGCAAAAAGGAAUUAAUAGCAAUUACUUUUGUUGUUUCUAAGUGGAGACAUUAUCUAGAGCAGGGGCAAUUUUUUUAUUAAAACAGAUCAUGAAAGCAUCAAGUAUUUGCUGGAACAGAGACUUCAUACUAACCUGCAGCAGAGGGGAAUAUCUAAGUUGUUAGGGUUGGAUUAUAAGAUUUUAUAUAGAAAGGGGAUUGAGAAUAAGGUGGCUGAUGCUUUGUCUAGAUGGAGUUUUGAGGAGCCUUCUGAGAAUAAUUGUUUUGCUUUGCAAUCUUUCCCUAAUUCCUGCUUGGAUGUCUAAUUUUGCAGCCACUUAUGAGGGGAAUGUGAGGGCUGAAGAGUUAAUUCAGCAGUUUUCAGUGGCAGUUGAUAGCGUUUCAGGAUUUGCUUUCAAAUCUGGAUUGUUGCAUUAUAAAGGCAGAUUGUUUGUGGGCUGUAGCACUUCUUUGAGGAGUCACCUUAUUUCUUUAUAUCACAAUUCACCUUUGGGAGGACAUUCAGGGGUAUUACGGACUUGUCAUAAGUUGAAGAAACAUUUUCAUUGGCCUUGGUUAAAGGAAGAUGUGGUCGAUUGGAUUAAGAGAUGUGGUCGAUUGGAUUAAGAAAUGUGAUCAGUGUGCAAGAUGUAAGGGAGAAACAUGUGCAACAUCUGGGUUGUUGCAGCCUAUACCAAUUCCUAACCAUGCUUGGCAGUAUAUCUCCAUGGAUUUUGUGGAGCAGUUGUGCAAGUCACUUGGCAAGGAUACCAUCUUAGUUGUGUGUAGAUUUACCAAGCAUGCUCAUUUUAUGGCUCUCUCUCACCCCAUUCUGCUUCUUCAAUUGCAGGACUAUUUUUCGAUCAUGUUUUCAAGUUGGAUGGGGCACCUCAAACUAUUGUUUCAGACAGAUAUAAGGUUUUUACUAGCCUUUUUUGGAGAGAAUUGUUUAAGAAAUUGGGUACUUCUCUCUGUUCCAGUACCUCUUAUCAUCCUCAAUCUGAUGGACAGACUGAGAGGGUAAAUCAAUGUUUGGGGGGGUAUUUAAGAAGCAUGGCUCAUUUAAAACCUACUACUUGGGGUAGGUGUUUAUCUGUAGCAGAAUGGUGGUACAAUUCGAUCUACCAUAGUGCUAUUAGGAUGACUUCAUUUGAAGCACUUUAUGGACACUAUCCUCCAAUGAUUCCAGCCUUGCCUACUGAGAUGACAAUAGUUGGUGCAGUAGAAGAUUUUCUUAAGGACAGGCAAGCUAUUACUUGCUCAAAGAGAAUUUAUAGCUUGCUAGGAAUAGAAUGAAGCAGCAAAUGGAUAAGAGGAGGACUGAAAGGGUAUUUCAAGUAGGAGAUUGGGUGUUUUUGAAAUUGCAGCCAUAUAGGCAGACCACUAUUGCUGUAAGGAAACAUCUCAAGUUAUCUGCCAAGUAUUAUGGCCCUUUUCAGGUGUUGGAGAGAGCAGGCACAAUUGCUUAUAAAUUGCAGCUGCCAGAAUCUUCUACUGUCCAUCCAGUUUUUCAUGUUUCAUUACUUAAGAAGUUUGGCAAUAAUCAGAUACCUACUUUGGCGCUUCCUCAAUUGGUGGAAGAUCAGGUGGAAGUCAAGCCAUUAAAGGUGCUGCAGACUAUGGUGAUUGACGGGCAGAAUAUGCAAAUUCCUCAGUCUCUUAUUCAGUGGAAGGGCUUAUCUCAGGAGGAUGCUACUUGGGAGGCUAAUUCUUUUCUCAUGUUCCAGUUUCCAACUUUUGCCACCUCCUUUAGGGCAAGGAGGGGGUAUUGUUACAUACCAGAGAGAGAGGUUUAGGAAUAGAGUAGGGAAGUGAUUGGAUGUAAUUCAGGUCUAAAAGGUGCUGGAGUUAAUUUUGUUGGUUUUGGAGGGAAGAUAACGGAUUGUAGAAAGGGGCGGGAAGUGUAUGUUAGGAAAUAACAGAUUACUAGAAUUGGUAUAAAUACA